CCACGCCGACCCGGGGGCACCGGCAGAGGAGCGGGCCCAGCGCGGGCUCUAAGCUCCAGGCAAAGGCGCGGUGGCCCACGCCUGUAAUCUCAGCACUCGGGAGGCUAAGGCAGGAGGACUGCGGAGAGUUCCGGGAGAGUCUGGCCACAUAGUGAGUUCAAGGCCAGCCUUGACUACAUAGCGAGACCUGCCUCUGUUCUUCCGCGUGGUCCGGCUCAGAACUCGCGCUACUCGAAGCUGGAAAAGGCAGACAUCCUGGAAAUGACCGUGCACUUCCUGCAGGAGCUUCCGGCGUUUCCCUACCCCGCGACUGCCCCAGCGCCCACAGACAGCUACCGCGAAGGCUACCGCGCCUGCCUGGCGCGCCUGGCUUGCGUGCUGCCGACCUGCGGCGUCCUGGAGCCG
RNAcentral lists this long non-coding RNA (405 nucleotides) under Fukomys damarensis (Damara mole-rat). RNAcentral describes it as "lncRNA (ENSFDAG00000027170.1)". Lineage: Eukaryota; Metazoa; Chordata; Mammalia; Rodentia; Bathyergidae. The record is from RNAcentral.